GCUGAAGCGGAUAAGGAUCUUCCGUUCCCGAAGCUCCUCCACUGUGGGCCUCUGGCUGAGCUGCGGGAGAGAGAGACACAGAUGCGGUCAACCAGCCACAUUUUAGAUCACUUGGUCCACCUGUGAGUGUACAGGUAAAGUGAACCCAGGUUACCUGCCUGGAUGCUAAGGAAACAGUCUCUGCAGCCAGAGUUGGUUUUCCGGGAAUGACGGGCUGCAGAGGUUGGCAGAAUUAUGUUUCCAUCUACGGCAGCAAAAGUGUCAGUUGCAAACGCUCAACAAAAGGGUACACGUCAAGAUCCGAAUCCCACUACUAAUACAACCUGACUGAGGUCUUGAUGGAAGGAUAUGGAGGCAAUGCUGGGGCUGAGGGAAGGUACGCCGGCCUGACCCUGCCCCCCGACCUCGGGCAUCUGGUCUUGCUGCGAUAAAGGCUCCUGAGGAGCAGAAUGUGUCCAGGGCCAGGAGGUGGUACAGAUUCCCUACCAGUUGCCAGGCCCCACACCUCUGUUCACAGAGCCAGAUGUGAAAGCUACUUUUGGUCUCUCCCUUAUAAAAAGCAGCCUAGCCCUUCCUUCAAGCUCAUUAUCUCUAAUUCCCCGAGCCAGUCCCAGGGGAUGGCAGAUGCUGAAAUUACAAGGCACUUUUCCUGGGAGAAGAGAGAGGUAACUGGGAGGAGGAAGAGGCAUUUAUCUUGAAGACUUGCAAGAACUAUGGGUAUUUGGGGACC
Molecule: long non-coding RNA, 730 nt
Organism: Bubalus bubalis (water buffalo)
Lineage: Eukaryota; Metazoa; Chordata; Mammalia; Artiodactyla; Bovidae
Exons: 3
Source: RefSeq, a predicted model, not a curated record